GUAAGAAAUCUUUGUAGUUCUC
Molecule: microRNA, 22 nt
Organism: Caenorhabditis elegans
Lineage: Eukaryota; Metazoa; Nematoda; Chromadorea; Rhabditida; Rhabditidae
Source: Ensembl